GCUGGGUACGGUGGGGCACACCUGUAACCCCAGCAGCUCCGGAGGCUGAGGCAGGAGGAUCAUGAUUUCAAAGCCAGCCUCAGCAACUUAGCAAGGCCCUAAGCAAUUCAGUGAGACCCUGUCUCUA
RNAcentral lists this small RNA (127 nucleotides) under Marmota monax (woodchuck). The record is from RNAcentral. Lineage: Eukaryota; Metazoa; Chordata; Mammalia; Rodentia; Sciuridae.